This is a long non-coding RNA of Brassica napus (rape), 1825 nucleotides long. RefSeq lists it as uncharacterized. The transcript is spliced from 2 exons. NCBI's taxonomy places the organism in Eukaryota, Viridiplantae, Streptophyta, Magnoliopsida, Brassicales, Brassicaceae. The record is from RefSeq and is a predicted model, not a curated record.
AAUAAACGUAAAAAAUAUUGUUAAAAGAAAAUUUAGCUUUGAAGGACAGUGGGUUAGAAUUUAGUAUAAAUUAAACACAAAACAAUUUUCAGAUAUGUUAUUUUAUGCAUAUAUUAAAUUUUUUAGUAACUAAAUACAAACACAAUAAGAUAAAUAUAUAAUAAGAAGCGAAAAAUGCAUGUAACGAUCUUAAACAAUUCAUUAAUUAUAACAUAUAAACUAUGAAAUUAUUGUAUUUGAAAUACUUAUAUAAAUAUUUAUAUAUAUGAUUAACGUUAAAAAUGUAUACCACCAAUGAUCUAAAAUAAAUAUCUAUGUAUAUAAAUUGAAAAAAUAUCCGCGCGGGUGUGCGGGUCAAAAUCUAGUUCCUCCAUUAAACGAUUGUUUUCUCGUUUUUAAAUCGUGGUUUUUGUUUAUAUUGAAUUAUGUAUAAUAUUUUAUCAAAUGUAUGGUGUUGGUACGUUCAUUCCAAAGAAGUUGAACGUUUUGAAUUGAUGAUUGACAUCUUCUAAGAGUAUGUUAUGGUUAAAGAUUGAUCCAGAGUCUCCAUUUUCUGCCAACCUUCCUGAUUAAUAAAGAAAAGUAAAAAACCUCUUAUAACUUUUUGUCAAACAAAACCUCGUAUAAUUUUUAUAUCGUCGAAUGUUUUGAGUUUAUCAACUAAAACAUAGGUAAAAGUAUACAAGAUGAUUAAAUUAAGGGAAAUUUGGCAAAAAGGAACAAAACAACUAUACUCUUGUCCCUUAGAAUUUAAACCAAAAUCAUUGUCCCUAUAGUAUAAACAAUAAUGAAAAUCCAAUUUUGCCAUUUUCUUUAAAAUACAGUUAAUAAAAUUAACAUUUUACUUUAAUGAAAUAAGAAAUAUAAAGUAAAAAAAAAAACAGAACUCUAUCGUCGUCUCCAACUUCUUUCUCAAUCAAAAAGGCGAUUUCGUUUUAGCCGUCAGACACCUUCUUUCUCUGGCCCGUCUAAGUUCGUCGGAAAGCUUCAACUCACCGUCACAUCUCUUUGUCGUCCUCCUUCUUUUGUCUUUCCUCUUUGAGAACCACCGAUUACAAUCACUUUGUAAUCUCCGCCGAUUACAAUCGGAGUUGUUCAAUCUUCUUAGUUCUUUCUUAGGGUUUCAAUUUGGGAGAUUUUUAGGUUUGGGUUUCGAUUUGUCUUGACUAUCUAUUUCUGUGUCUAUGGGUUUUGAUUUUGGUUGCCAAUAUGUUUUGUUCGUAGGGUUUUGAUUUUCGUUGACUAUUUGUCUCUGUUGCUGUAUCAAGAGUCUUGAUUAUGACUAUCUUGACAAUUUGUUCCUGUCUUGAGUCUCUGUUUUUGUACCUGAUUAAUCUUUUCUCUGGUCUUCACUAUAAGGUUUAUCUUGUAUUUGAUUUAUCUUGCCGCUGGUCUUGACUAUCUUAUUUAUAUUGUCUAUGUGUUAUAGUCUUGUUAUAGUAGCUAAUUUAUAUUGUUAAUAAUUUCUGUGUUACGAUUUUGUUUCUCUUUGUAAUGGUUCUUUGAGUUAUGAGGCCAAUGGAGGAGGAGAGAGCUCGGAGACAGUGGCUGCAGGAUGAUAUGUUGUUGUAUAGAGGUUUUAUGAAGGUUAAGGAGAGGCGCUGCGCAGUUAAGGAGCGUAUCAGUAAAAUGAGUCAAGGGUUGUCUUUAAGGUUCUGCGUUUUUGGAACCAAAACCAGAAGGGCAACAAGGAGCUUAUGAUGAUGAGGACCUGGAACACUUAUCAGUUUUCAGGUGAGGUUACUAUGAUAGUAUAAUUUGUUCUGAAUUUAUCUUUGUUCUUUACAGAGGAGUUGUUGUGUCAGAAGAACAUUAGUGGUGGUGU